This 836-nucleotide ribosomal RNA is filed under the name Podospora intestinacea. Its description in RNAcentral is "eukaryotic LSU rRNA". It matches the Rfam family "Eukaryotic large subunit ribosomal RNA", at positions 68 to 938 of the family's 3401-position model. The record is from RNAcentral. Lineage: Eukaryota; Fungi; Ascomycota; Sordariomycetes; Sordariales; Podosporaceae.
ACAGGGAUUGCCCUAGUAACGGCGAGUGAAGCGGCAACAGCUCAAAUUUGAAAUCUGGCUCCGGCCCGAGUUGUAAUUUGCAGAGGAAGCUUCUGGUGAUAUACCGUCUAAGUCCCCUGGAACGGGGCGCCACAGUGGGUGAGAGCCCCAUGUGACGGAUGUAGAUCCUGUGUGAAGCUCCUUCGACGAGUCGAGUAGUUUGGGAAUGCUGCUCAAAAUGGGAGGUAAAUUCCUUCUAAAGCUAAAUAUUGGCCAGAGACCGAUAGCGCACAAGUAGAGUGAUCGAAAGAUGAAAAGCACUUUGAAAAGAGGGUUAAACAGCACGUGAAAUUGUUGAAAGGGAAGCGCUUGUGACCAGACUUGCGCUGGGCUGAUCAUCCGGUGUUCUCACCGGUGCACUCGGCCCAGCACAGGCCAGCAUCGGUUUUGGCGGGGGGAUAAAGACUCAGGGAAUGUAGCUCCUCCGGGAGUGUUAUAGCCCGGUGUGCAAUACCCCCGCUGGGACCGAGGUUCGCGCAUUCGCAAGGAUGCUGGCGUAAUGGUCAUCAGCGACCCGUCUUGAAACACGGACCAAGGAGUCAAGGUUUUGCGCGAGUGUUUGGGUGUCAAACCCGCACGCGUAAUGAAAGUGAACGUAGGUGAGAGCUUCGGCGCAUCAUCGACCGAUCCUGAUGUAUUCGGAUGGAUUUGAGUAGGAGCGUUAAGCCUUGGACCCGAAAGAUGGUGAACUAUGCUUGGAUAGGGUGAAGCCAGAGGAAACUCUGGUGGAGGCUCGCAGCGGUUCUGACGUGCAAAUCGAUCGUCAAAUCUGAGCAUGGGGGCGAAAGACUAAUCGA